AGCUCCGAGGUGUUAUCAUGUUAGAUUGCAAAUCUGAAGAAGCAGGUUAGCCGCCUGCCGGGGCUU
RNAcentral lists this transfer RNA (66 nucleotides) under Cheilopogon agoo (Japanese flyingfish). Its description in RNAcentral is "tRNA-Cys". It matches the Rfam family "tRNA". From Rfam's summary of the family: Transfer RNA (tRNA) molecules are approximately 80 nucleotides in length. RNAcentral also lists the same sequence under 4 other names. The record is from RNAcentral. Lineage: Eukaryota; Metazoa; Chordata; Actinopteri; Beloniformes; Exocoetidae.